CCUACGGGAGGCAGCAGCAAGGAAUUUUGCACAAUGGGGGAAACCCUGAUGCAGCAACGCCGCGUGGAGGAUGAAGCCCUUUGGGGCGUAAACUCCUUUCGAUCGGGACGAUUAUGACGGUACCGGAAGAAGAAGCACCGGCUAACUCUGUGCCAGCAGCCGCGGUAAU
This 169-nucleotide ribosomal RNA is filed under the name uncultured bacterium. RNAcentral describes it as "partial 16S ribosomal RNA". It matches the Rfam family "Bacterial small subunit ribosomal RNA", at positions 338 to 524 of the family's 1533-position model. The record is from RNAcentral.